Long non-coding RNA from Esox lucius (northern pike), 957 nucleotides. The record is from Ensembl. Lineage: Eukaryota; Metazoa; Chordata; Actinopteri; Esociformes; Esocidae.
UGACCUACUGGGAAUGUCUUCUGUUUUCUGUAUAGAAACAUUAACAAAGGUAUCAGAGCGUCGCCUUCUUAGUCUUUAACUAGUUACCUUCCAGUAUUUACAAAAAGUGUAAUACUAUCUAUUUUUCUGCAGCUCAUCCCUUUGUCUCUUUAUUUCCCAGUGUGUCUCUUUGUCUCUCAGGCUCCGCCCCCUUGAAGUACAAAAAGUAUAAAACCAGAAGUUAGACACAUUGUUGGUAUCUCCAAAAAACACCUGAGUUUCUCUCCACUGAUUGAACUAUCCUGUCACAAUGCUGUCACGUACAUUAACUAUUUGUUUCAUCUUGGCUUUGGCUGGCCUGGUUAUCCCAGCCCCCGUUAAUGAUGGAGAUACAGACAUGGGAACCACAGGCAGUCCUGAUGCCCCAGACUCAGUAGAUCUGGACAAGUCUCUAGAAAAUAACUUAACAGAGUCUUCAGAAAUUAACUCCAAAGAGUCUUCAGAAAUUAACUCCAAAGAGUCUUCAGAAAUUAACUCCAAAGAGUCUUCAGAAAUUAACUCCAAAGAGUCUUCAGAAAUUAACUCCAAAGAGUCUUCAGAAAUUAACUCCAAAGAGUCUUCAGAAAGUAACUCCACAGAGUCUUCAGAAAGUAACUCCACAGAUGACCAUAAAGACAACUCCUCUGAUUCUUCUAAAUCAGAGGAUUCCUCAGAGGAAAAGGAUGACAAGGAAGAUGCUGUAGAGUCAGACAAAGAUUCUUCUGAUGACGAUAAAGAGGAUUCCUCUGAUUCCGUUGACGCUGAUGACGCUUCUAAGGAUGGGCCUGUUCCUAUCACCCCAUUCUCUGAGUAGAGCCCACAAGACACUGGAAUCAGAUGAUCAGGAUAACAAACAUCAUCAAAACUCCACCAUUGCUCUUAACUUCCUUAAACAUCUGCUACAUAGAAAUAAACUACAACAUUUAUUGCAUAAAAAAG